Molecule: ribosomal RNA, 167 nt
Filed under: Sphingobium sp. enrichment culture
Lineage: Bacteria; Pseudomonadati; Pseudomonadota; Alphaproteobacteria; Sphingomonadales; Sphingobiaceae
Description: partial 16S ribosomal RNA
Rfam family: Bacterial small subunit ribosomal RNA
Source: RNAcentral
UACGGGAGGCAGCAGUAGGGAAUAUUGGACAAUGGGCGAAAGCCUGAUCCAGCAAUGCCGCGUGAGUGAUGAAGGCCUUAGGGUUGUAAAGCUCUUUUACCCGGGAUGAUAAUGACAGUACCGGGAGAAUAAGCCCCGGCUAACUCCGUGCCAGCAGCCGCGGUAAU